Alexandromys fortis (reed vole) is the source of this 976-nucleotide long non-coding RNA. RefSeq lists it as uncharacterized. The transcript is spliced from 3 exons. The record is from RefSeq and is a predicted model, not a curated record. NCBI's taxonomy places the organism in Eukaryota, Metazoa, Chordata, Mammalia, Rodentia, Cricetidae.
AAGCCAGAAGGGUCAUGUGGGCCCAGAGUAGGAUCUGUCUAGGCACCUGCUGGCUUGGCCUUCCUCUGUCUCUGUGUCUGAGGCACAUUCAUCCGUCACGACGGGAAAGUUGGGGUCCCUCACUGAACCUGAAGACAGACUGGCAGUCCUAGCAGCAUUCCUGUCUCUGGUCUCCACAGCAACUGGGCUAUAGGUGGUCACGCCUGGGUUUUUACGUGAGUGUUGGGGAUUUGAAUCCAGGUCUUCAUGCAUGGGUACUGUGAUUAUAAGGAUGACAUCACACGGAUGUACAUCACACUCUGAGCACAUAAAGAAGCAACACGCGUGCCACGUGUGAAGAACGAAGCUCUUGGGCAAAUGGCCUUCUGCUUGCCCGCUACAGCUUUGCCAUUGAAGGUGAUUUCUUCUCCACCCCCAGUUUCUUACCUCUUCUCCCAGCCCCCAGUCAACCUUCAACAAAUGUUGAGGGAACACGCCAUUGAAAGUCCAAACCAGUUGAAACAGCAGAGAAAAAAACACAACAGAAUCCGGGCAGAGACAAGGUUGUUGUUCUACUCCUUAAAACUGAGAUUAUGGGGAAAUUAUUAAAACUAUAUUACAAAGCAAAAUCUCAACUUUGUCUAUUUCACAGACUCUAGUGAAAAGAGAAAUCAUUGCUUCAUGUUAAAAUUGGAUGACAAAUAGCUAUGUAGAUAAUAAAUACCCCUUAGAAAUGAUAGCAUUUUAAUUGUCUUAUAGAACAUUAUAGAAUAAAUCCUCACUGAUUUAAAAAAGCUAUAAUAAUUACAACAUUGCAUAGGUCAAGCACGAUAUGAAAUCAGUCUUAUAAGAUUAUUAUUUCCUUUUGAUAGAUGAAAAUAUUGAGACUCAGGGACUGGAGAGAUGGCUCAGUGGUUAAGAGCACUGGCUGCUCUUCCAGAGGUACUGAGUUCAAUUCCCAGCAACCACAUGGUGGCUCACAACCAUCUGCAAUGAG